Molecule: long non-coding RNA, 342 nt
Organism: Mobula hypostoma (lesser devil ray)
Lineage: Eukaryota; Metazoa; Chordata; Chondrichthyes; Myliobatiformes; Myliobatidae
Exons: 3
Source: RefSeq, a predicted model, not a curated record
GCUGCAUUUUGCUGACCCAUCACACAAAGCAAUUUAUACUGGUUGCUUUUGAAAACUGCCUGUGGCUUGCCAGUCUUCACCCAUCUCUCCAGACUCCCUGUCUGCUGUUUGCUUUCUUUCUUCCAGGGUCAUAAAAUACAACUGUCACAAUGGGAGAUGACGAGGUAUGGUGUUGGAUGUCAACUACAGUACAACUUGUGUGACUGCAUGAUAAUGUGAAGCUGGUCCCAGUAUAAUUUUACUCAUGAUUCAAAGAACACUCUCACUGCGUAGCUUAAAGCAUGCACAAUCAUAUUCUGCAUUCCAACAGUUUCAACAGCAGGGGUUAUUUGGUAUAUCUUA